Molecule: non-coding RNA, 1198 nt
Organism: Benincasa hispida (wax gourd)
Lineage: Eukaryota; Viridiplantae; Streptophyta; Magnoliopsida; Cucurbitales; Cucurbitaceae
Source: RefSeq, a predicted model, not a curated record
ACCCAACGGCGCUGUCAACGCCGUGAAGAAAAAGGCUAAGGAUUAUGAAGCUUCCUCUCUCUCUCUCGCAUCCUACACUAAAACAACACGCCUAAGCAAAGCCGAAUCCAAUUCGCCUAUCAACCAGAUCUCCCCUUAAUUCUUUACUUUCAAUUUCUUCACACCGAUCGCUCUUCGAUUUCCGAUCAUCAAUUCUCAGAAGUUUGGAGGUCGGUUCGAAUCGCACAUUUUCCGCCAUGUCAAUGUUCAAUAAGCUUUUUGGUAAACCUAAACAGGAGUCUAAUGCCCUGGCCACGCUUGAUAAAUUAAACGAGACACUGGAAAUGCUGGAGAAGAAGGAGAAAGUACUUUUGAAAAAGGCUGCCACAGAGGUUGAGAAGGCCAAAGAUUAUACCAGAGCAAAGAACAAGCGGGCUGCUAUACAAUGUUUGAAGAGGAAGAGGCUAUAUGAACAACAGAUAGAGCAGCUCGGCAACUUCCAAUUGCGGAUUCAUGAUCAGAUGAUAUUACUCGAAGGUGCAAAAGCCACAACUGAGACUGUAGAUGCAUUGAGGACAGGGGCAGCUGCAAUGAAAGCAAUGCAGAAAGCAACGAAUAUUGAUGAUGUAGACAAAACAAUGGAUGAGAUCAAUGAACAAACUGAGAACAUGAAACAGAUCCAAGAAGCAUUGUCAAAUCCAAUUGGUGCUGCAGCCGAUUUUGAUGAGGAUGAACUGGAAGCAGAACUUGAAGAGCUAGAAGGUGCUGAGUUGGAAGAGCAACUUCUUCAACCUGCAACAACUGCUCCUGCUGCUCCAAUUUCAGUCCCUGCAGGCCGACAAACUGCUCGACCCGUGCCUCAGAAACGAACUGCUGAAGAAGAUGAGCUGGCAGCUCUGCAGGCUGAGAUGGCACUUUGAUGUGAUAUCCAACAAUGUUCUGAAGCAGGUCCUCGGGUUAAUCCUGUGAUGAGUUCUUUCCCUUUGUGGCGAGAAUUUGAAAGAGAGGCGAUGUGAAGAAUUGGCCCGAGGUUGUUCUGAAGAUUUGAACAUUUUUUGCUAUGUUCAGCAAAGCCUGAUGAACAAGGUCUCUUUGUGAUAAUACCAGACAAUAAUGCAAAUUUAAAUUAGGUCUUGUAUACUCUGUAAAUGAAUAUAACAUUAAUGUGGUUAGUAUUUGACCUAAUAUGGAGCUGAUGUGUGUGUCUCAAUUACACGAA